RNAcentral lists this ribosomal RNA (253 nucleotides) under uncultured bacterium. RNAcentral describes it as "partial 16S ribosomal RNA". It matches the Rfam family "Bacterial small subunit ribosomal RNA", at positions 524 to 776 of the family's 1533-position model. The record is from RNAcentral.
GACGUAGGGCGCGAGCGUUGUCCGGAUUUACUGGGCGUAAAGAGCUCGUAGGCGGCUCGUUGCGUCGGCUGUGAAAACCCGCAGCUCAACUGUGGGCUUGCAGCUGAUACGGGCGGGCUGGGAUUCGGUAGGGGAGACUGGAAUUCCUGGUGUAGCGGUGAAAUGCGCAGAUAUCAGGAGGAACACCGGUGGCGAAGGCGGGUCUCUGGGCCGAUAUCGACGCUGAGGAGCGAAAGCGUGGGGAGCGAACAGG